Long non-coding RNA from Daphnia pulicaria, 170 nucleotides. RefSeq lists it as uncharacterized. Lineage: Eukaryota; Metazoa; Arthropoda; Branchiopoda; Diplostraca; Daphniidae. The record is from RefSeq and is a predicted model, not a curated record. The transcript is spliced from 3 exons.
UUCCCGAGUAUGGAUCAGUUACUAUCCGAUGCUUCACGUGCCUCAUCAUGAACUAUUGGAGCCGAUUCUUUCCAAUCAAAAUCUCUAAACAAAAAUCGGGCGAAUACAAAUUCUUUUUACCUGGAAACUGCCUCGCUGCUGUGUUAUCGGGUGACAAAUGGCGUCCUCGU